RNAcentral lists this small RNA (57 nucleotides) under Arabidopsis thaliana (thale cress). Its description in RNAcentral is "ATSL165690". Lineage: Eukaryota; Viridiplantae; Streptophyta; Magnoliopsida; Brassicales; Brassicaceae. The record is from RNAcentral.
CUCAUAAGUUAGAGCAAUCUUCUCCGCCUUCCGAUCAACAUAAGUGCCAUCCGAAUU